AGAGGAAAGAAGAGGCCCAGCUAGACUGUAGCAAGGUUAGAAGAUACACGCAAGAUUGCCUGCCACACACAUCGGGUCUUGUUCCUGUCCAGUAUUUGCAUGGAGAUAUCAAGUUAAUUAGGGAGCUCUUUCUGAGAUGAAGAGAAUUCUCAAUGUCAAGAUUUGAACAAGAAGAGAAUGGAAUACACAAUAUGGACAUCCAUAAAAAUUCAUCAGAGAGCAUUUUACUACUGAGCUGCAAAGGGAAAAACUUAAAAUGGAUAUGAAAAGUGAAGAAAGUGAUCAUAGGAGAAAACCAUUUCAGGUGUCUGAUGAUUUGUGAGCCUCAAGUGACUACUCUGUGGAAUCAUCUGUCCUUGCCUUUGAAUUAGCUUUCCCUAGGCCAUGAGUCAACAUUAGUAGUUUAUACAUCCAAAUUGAUGACAAGAGCACCUCAAAGGCAGCAGCCUCAAGGAGCAGCCAUGGCCCCAGACUUGUCGCACGGAUGCAGAAAACUUAAUGGAGGAGGCUGAGGUCAGAAUGGGAAGAGUUUUUAAAAAAUAAAAAGGGGAGCUAAUAUGUGAGGAACUGAUUGCUGUGCAUUAUUUUCCACUGAACAGACCUUCUUUUAACUUCUAAUCUCAAGCACAUAGCAGCUGUUGUUUUCAUAUUAAAGAUCAGUAAGUGUUUGUUGAAUGAAUGUAUAAAUUCUUCCCCAAUCUCUGUUCCAUGUAAUAAGAACUAAGUUAGCAUUCAAUUAUAAAGAGGACUUAGAAAGUCUGCAGACAUUUUUGAUCAAAAAUCCUUUUAACUGUCUUCUUAUGGUUCCCGGUAACACCUAAGCCCAAAAAACUCAGGUCAUUUCUUGCCUGUACUGUUGCAAUAGCCUCAUAAUAACUAGUCUUCUCCUUUAUCAACCACAGUCGUCUCCGCUACACAAAGAAGAGAGGGUGCUAAUCUAAAGUGUAAAUUAUUUUAAAUCAGCACCCUUCUUGUAAUUUCCCAGUGGUUUUUCCUGUCAUAAGAAUAACAUGCAAAAUUCCUUGCUUGCAAAGCCAGGUAUGACCUUGCCCCGUCUACCUUACUGGCAUCGUCUCUCAUGACUCUUCCCCUUUUUCACUCUCCAUCUUGCCUUUUCCCAACCAUGCCUGCUAGUGAGCCUUAGCCCUUGUGUUUUCUCUGCCAGGGAUGCAUGACUGGCUUCUUUACUUUAUUCUGAUCUCUCUGCUCAAAUGUCAUCUUUUUAGAGAUAGCUUUCCUAAACAUCUUUAAAAGUACCCCAUGAACUGUGAAACACCUUUCCUGCUUUUUCUUCAUAGUACUUAUCACUUCCUGAUAUUAUGUUAGACAACAAGCAAAUAAGUAUAUGCUGUUCCCACUAAAAUAUAAGCUCCAUUUGAACAGGAGCCUUGAUUAUUCCUGAGUAUACCCCUAGUGCCCAGAACCUAGUAGGGCUUUAAUAAAUAUUAGAUUCAUUUGUUGAAUGAAAAAAUGAAUGAAUAAUUGAAUAAAGAUAUCCAGGUAGAGUGUC
Molecule: long non-coding RNA, 1510 nt
Filed under: Homo sapiens (human)
Lineage: Eukaryota; Metazoa; Chordata; Mammalia; Primates; Hominidae
Description: mir-99a-let-7c cluster host gene
Source: RNAcentral